Molecule: non-coding RNA, 23 nt
Filed under: Cricetulus griseus (Chinese hamster)
Lineage: Eukaryota; Metazoa; Chordata; Mammalia; Rodentia; Cricetidae
Source: RNAcentral
GGACCUGAAGGAUGAAGGAAGGG